AUUGAACGCUGGCGGAAUGCUUUACACAUGCAAGUCGAACGGCAGCACGGGGCAACCUGGUGGCGAGUGGCGAACGGUGAGUAAUACAUCGGAACGUGCCCAAUCGUGGGGAUAACGUAGCGAAAGUUACGCUAAUACCGCAUACGAUCUACGGAUGAAAGCGGGGAUCGCAAGACCUCGCGCGAAUGGAGCGGCCGAUGUCAGAUUAGGUAGUUGGUGGGUAAAGGCUCACCAAGCCAACGAUCUGUAGCUGGUCUGAGAGGACGACCAGCCACACUGGAACUGAGACACGGUCCAGACUCCUAC
This 306-nucleotide ribosomal RNA is filed under the name uncultured bacterium. RNAcentral's name for it is "bacterial SSU rRNA". It matches the Rfam family "Bacterial small subunit ribosomal RNA", at positions 30 to 342 of the family's 1533-position model. The record is from RNAcentral.